Molecule: ribosomal RNA, 792 nt
Filed under: uncultured archaeon
Lineage: Archaea
Description: bacterial SSU rRNA
Rfam family: Archaeal small subunit ribosomal RNA
Source: RNAcentral
ACGGCUCAGUAACACGUAGUCAACCUAACUCGUGGAUGUGGAUAACCUCGGGAAACUGAGAAUAAACCACGAUAGAUCAUAGUGCCUGGAAUGGCUUAUGGUCCAAACAGUUUACUGCCAUGGGAUGGGACUGCGGCCUAUCAGCUUGUUGGUGAGGUAAUGGCCCACCAAGGCGAUUACAGGUACGGGCUCUGAGAGGAGAAGCCCGGAGAUGGGUACUGAGACACGGACCCAGGCCCUAUGGGGCGCAGCAGGCGAGAAACCUUAGCAAUGUGCGAAAGCACGACUGGGUCAGUCCGAGUGAUUCCUGAUAAAGGAGUCUUUUGCUUGUCCUAAAAGCACAGGUGAAUAAGGGGUGGGCAAGUCUGGUGUCAGCCGCCGCGGUAAUACCAGCACCUCGAGUGGUCAGGACGUUUAUUGGGCCUAAAGCAUCCGUAGCCGGCUUUGCAAGUCUUCGGUUAAAUCCACCUGCUCAACAGAUGGGCCGCUGGAGAUACUACAGAGCUAGGGAGUGGGAGAGGCAGACGGUAUUCAGUGGGUAGGGGUAAAAUCCUCUGAUCCAUUGAGGACCACCAGUGGCGAAGGCGGUCUGCCAGAACACGUUCGACGGUGAGGGAUGAAAGCUGGGGGAGCAAACCGGAUUAGAUACCCGGGUAGUCCCAGCUGUAAACGAUGCAAACUCGGUGAUGCAUUGGCUUAUGGCCAAUGCAGUGCCGCAGGGAAGCCGUUAAGUUUGCCGCCUGGGAAGUACGGACGCAAGUCUGAAACUUAAAGGAAUUGGCGGGGGAGCAC